This 204-nucleotide unclassified non-coding RNA is filed under the name Rhodotorula toruloides. Lineage: Eukaryota; Fungi; Basidiomycota; Microbotryomycetes; Sporidiobolales; Sporidiobolaceae. The record is from RNAcentral.
CACUUGGCUGGUUUUGCCGUCCGCUGAGCGCCAGGCGCCAUCAUACCUGGCGCCAACGAUCCAGUCGCUUUCCGACUCGCUUUUCGGCUUUUCCGCCUCACGUACCGCCUGACCGACAUCCCGACCCUCUCAAACACUCUUAUUCGCCUGCGUACGUCUUCUGCGGCUCGGUGAUGCCUUGCAACGCCGCUGCGCAUUCAGCCA